Molecule: long non-coding RNA, 1474 nt
Organism: Lineus longissimus
Lineage: Eukaryota; Metazoa; Nemertea; Pilidiophora; Heteronemertea; Lineidae
Exons: 3
Source: RefSeq, a predicted model, not a curated record
UCCUAAUAGCCACAGGAAGACAUUGUCGAAACAUAAAGACUGAAUCAGAGUGUUGUGUAUCAUACGGACGGCUUUCAUGCAGUGACAUGGCUACAAUAUCAACGUCACAUAACUUGUGUGUCUGUCCUGUGACAGUAAUAAUCUAGGAAAAUCAGGUGGAUGGAGAAUACUGGUGGUGACUAUCAACAACAUCUCUUGGGCAGAACUGAUUGAAGUACACGUACUUACUGGGAGAAUGUGGAUGUUACUUGUCCUAGCGCUUUUUACAUCAGGUAUCCUAUGUGACGACACCUUUGAGUGUUACAAUUGCGGCAGCAGCGAUACGGCGCCUCCAGGGACUGUUUUCCGCGGCCUGACAGCCAUUGCCGGCUGCGGAGAGGGGAACUUCAGCGCAUCUGACGCGAAGAAUUACCGGAGAGGAUGCGACACCAAAAACGGCGAAAAUAUGUGCGCUAAACUUGUCCUCAAGGACAUACAUGACAGGACAUUCAUAGAACGCAGAUGCUGGGUCUUCAACGACGACUGCACAACCUCCAAUACGACAGUGAAAGAUACCGUUUACGGAGAGCUAACCGGUGCUAUUCAUUGCUGUAAUAACACUAAAAACUGUAACUCUGCGACGGGACAGUAUCAGACCCUUCCUAUAGGGGUUAUUUGUAUGUAUGGCGUUGGGUUGUAUACUUUACUCCUUAUUUUACAAAGUUUAUGAUGAAUUUUUUCAGCCAGAAAUGAUCUCGCCGGACAUAGUUUUAGAACAACACCAAUCUUCCAAGUGUAAUAGGUUACCUGGACAGGAACGUUGACACCAAUGGUUCAUCAGCAACCUUCAUGAUCUCUCUUAGAAACCAACCAACGUAAGGCCGCUGUUUCUCUCCGUCCAGUCACGGUGCUUCUGACAAUGACAAUGUCUUUUGACAUUGUCUCUGUUCCAUCCCACUGCUUGUGACAUUGUCACUCUUCCGUCCCACUGCUUGUGAGAUUGUCACUCUUCCGUCCCACUGCUUGUGACAUUGUCUCUGUUCCGUCCCACUGCUUGUGACAUUGUCACUCUUCCGUCCCACUGCUUGUGACAUUGUCACUGUUCCGUCACACUGCUUGUGACAUUGUCACUGUUCCGUCACACUGCUUGUGACAUUGUCUCUGUUCCGUCCCACUGCUUGUGACAUUGUCACUGUUCCGUCCCACUGCUUGUGACAUUGUCACUCUUCCGUCCCACUGCUUGUGACAUUGGGUGAUAUGAAUAAAGACUAGCAAAUGCUUUUAUCUAAAACUCCAUGUACAUUUACACUACACCUUUCUGUACAAAAUUGAAGUAAAAGCAUAUGCUAGACUUUAUUCACAUCAGCCAAUGUCACACUUGCGUCACACUGCUUGUGACAUUGUCACUCUUCCGUCACACUGCUUGUGACAUUGUCUCUAUAUUGGUCAUGUGUUGCUGAACAAUUACUGGAAAUAAACUGAUUAAUAUAACUGA